Molecule: long non-coding RNA, 1760 nt
Organism: Daucus carota subsp. sativus
Lineage: Eukaryota; Viridiplantae; Streptophyta; Magnoliopsida; Apiales; Apiaceae
Exons: 2
Source: RefSeq, a predicted model, not a curated record
UCAAUCUCUUCUUCUCUCUCGAUCAAUCUCUCCCACUCGCAUCUCUCUUUCUCUCAAAUCUCUGAAAUCCCUCUCCCUCACCGCUCUCUCUCUCCCCUGUCUUCCCUCACCUAUCUCCGCUUCUCCCUCCUCGGCUGCCCUUCUUCGCUGCCUUCCGGCCACCGCAAAGCCGCGUGUUUUCCGGCCAGCUACUACUGGGUUGGCGAGUUUCAGUCUUUGCUCCGUUUCCCCUCUUCGUCGUGCAUCGUGUCUCUAUGGUGUCCUUUGUAGUCUCCUCAAAUCUUCUGCCAAACUUUCUUUCAGUAGCCGCUAUCUGCUUUCUCGGGCAAGUCCAGCGUUAAGCCACGCUUCCCUAUUUGAUUUUGUUGAAUUGAACGAGACGUUGAUCGAGGCAUUGAUCGAGAAGUGAUUGAAAUGGGUAUUCAAAAAUAGCUAAGUUGUGUUGCAAGUUGAAGUUAGGCAGAGAUUGCUAUAGAUAGAAUCUUGUCAGAAGCUGGCAGAAAGGAAUGAUAUGGCACUACAUAGUGUUAUUAGAAAUCUGAGCUAGACACCGGAGUUAAGGCAAGUAUAUUUCCAACCUACUUUCUCUUUAAAAGAUUUUGCUCCUGCAAUGCUUUUGUUAUGCUUUGAAUAUUGCAAAACUCCUUAUAGAAUUAGACUUCUACUAAUUACGAGUAUUCUGGAAUUACCCAAGUAUGAAUGGAAUACCCUUUGUCACUUAUAUCUUGCAAAUGUAUCAACUUAAUUAUCAUCCUUAUCUUCUUCAACUGCUAGUUACUUAUUAUUGAGCUUAGAACCUUGUUUUCUUACCUCCCUUUUAACUACAACAAAUUGUGUUCUUGCUUAUAAAAAAAACUAGUUCACUUGUUUGUUCCUGACCCAGAAAUGAAACCCCAUUUCUUGAAAGACCUUAGUUAUCAUCAUACAACCUACCCUGCCAUUAUUAUAAAAUACAUUGAUACACUUGAUUCAGUAACCUAUACCCUUGAUAAAGAAUACUUAAUUAGUAGAAAUCUAAUGCUAAGGUGUUGAAAUGAAUAUUUGGUUGAGAAUCAAUGUUGCUUACAGAUUUUGAACCUUGGUCUUAAAAUGAAAAAUGAUUUGAUUUAUUUGUUUUAGAAAGGGAAUUGGAUGAAAAUGUUUUAUGACCGAGGCGCCGGUCCCAAUUGAAUUAUUAAAGGCCGAAGUGUGCCUAGGAUCCUUUAUAUUUGAGAACUCGUAUUGAAUAUGCGGGUUCGGAGCUAUGUCGUGGGCUGAUCACCCAGCUUAGCUCGUAGCGUCUUAUCUGGUUCCAAUUCCAUAAAGGAGAAACUGUUUUGUUUAAAUCAUAUUGUGUUGGUAUCAUUAUCUUUAUAUCAUUGUCAGGUUUUACAUACUGUUUGAUUUAUUGUUGGUUUGGAUAUUAUAUACUUGCUGAGCAUUCUUUUGCUCAUUCUUGCUAUUUCUUCUAACCCCUUUCAGAUAAUGUUAAAGAUGGUUCGCCUAUUUAGGCUAAGCAUAAGAGUAAGGCUAGGCGAGGAUUGCAAGUGACUAAGUUUCAACCUCUGAUGGUCAGGAAGAGUAUCCAAGAUCGAGUCUUUGGGACUAGUGGUAAUUAGAGUUGUCUAAAUUUGAUUUAGUUGUAAAAACAUGUAAUAGGAUUUAUUAGUUUUACUUUUCUGAUUUCAAUACUAUAGCCUGUUUGCGAUCCUGUUUUAAAGGGGGUUAAACUUUGUUCUUUUAAAUCUUUUAUUAAAGCUUUUAGGUUUUCAAUUCUUUGA